CUACGGGACGCUGCAGUGGGGAAUAUUGCACAAUGGGCGAAAGCCUGAUGCAGCGACGCCGCGUGAGCGAAGAAGGUUUUCGGAUCGUAAAGCUCUGUCCUAUGGGAAGAAAAUGACGGUACCAUAGGAGGAAGCCCCGGCUAACUACGUGCCAGCAGCCGCGGUAAUACGUAGGGGGCGAGCGUUGUCCGGAUUUACUGGGCGUAAAGGGUGAGUAGGCGGUAACGUGUGUCAGAUGUGAAAGGCGAGGGCUAAACCCUCGUAAGCAUUUGAAACUGCGUAACUUGAGUGCAGGAGAGGUAAGCGGAAUUCCUAGUGUAGCGGUGAAAUGCGUAGAUAUUAGGAGGAACACCGGUGGCGAAGGCGGCUUACUGGACUGUAACUGACGCUGAGACACGAAAGCGUGGGGAGCAAACAGGAUUAGAUACCCGCGUAGUC
This 438-nucleotide ribosomal RNA is filed under the name uncultured bacterium. RNAcentral describes it as "partial 16S ribosomal RNA". It matches the Rfam family "Bacterial small subunit ribosomal RNA", at positions 339 to 795 of the family's 1533-position model. The record is from RNAcentral.